Molecule: ribosomal RNA, 431 nt
Filed under: uncultured bacterium
Lineage: Bacteria
Description: partial 16S ribosomal RNA
Rfam family: Bacterial small subunit ribosomal RNA
Source: RNAcentral
AACGAACGCUGGCGGCAGGCCUAACACAUGCAAGUCGAGCGAGGACUUCGGUCCUAGCGGCGGACGGGUGAGUAACGCGUGGGAACGUGCCCUUUGCUUCGGAAUAGCCCUGGGAAACUGGGAGUAAUACCGGAUGAGCCCUUUGGGGGAAAGAUUUAUCGGCGAAGGAUCGGCCCGCGUUGGAUUAGGUAGUUGGUGGGGUAAUGGCCUACCAAGCCGACGAUCCAUAGCUGGUUUGAGAGGAUGAUCAGCCACACUGGGACUGAGACACGGCCCAGACUCGCAGGGGGGGCAGCAGGGGGAAAUUUUAGAAAAGGGGGGAAACCCUGCUCCGCCCGUGCCGGGUGAGCGAUGAGGGCCUGAGGGGUGUAAAGCUCUUUCAGCGGGGAAGAUAAGGGCGGUACAAGCAGAAGAAGCCCCGGCAACCCCCG